UACGUAGGCGGCAAGCGUUGUCCGGAUUUACUGGGCGUAAAGAGCGCGCAGGCGGUCGGAUAAGUCGAAUGUGAAAGCCCCCGGCUCAACUGGGGAGGGUCAUUCGAUACUGUUCGACUCGAAGGCAGGAGAGGGAAGUGGAAUUCCCGGUGUAGUGGUGAAAUGCGUAGAUAUCGGGAGGAACACCAGUGGCGAAGGCGACUUCCUGGCCUGUUCUUGACGCUGAGGCGCGAAAGCUAGGGGAGCAAACGGG
This 253-nucleotide ribosomal RNA is filed under the name uncultured bacterium. RNAcentral's name for it is "partial 16S ribosomal RNA". It matches the Rfam family "Bacterial small subunit ribosomal RNA", at positions 524 to 776 of the family's 1533-position model. The record is from RNAcentral.